This 459-nucleotide ribosomal RNA is filed under the name Chryseobacterium indoltheticum. RNAcentral describes it as "bacterial SSU rRNA". It matches the Rfam family "Bacterial small subunit ribosomal RNA", at positions 8 to 468 of the family's 1533-position model. Lineage: Bacteria; Pseudomonadati; Bacteroidota; Flavobacteriia; Flavobacteriales; Weeksellaceae. The record is from RNAcentral.
AGAGUUUGAUCCUGGCUCAGGAUGAACGCUAGCGGGAGGCCUAACACAUGCAAGCCGAGCGGUAGAGAUCUUUCGGGAUCUUGAGAGCGGCGUACGGGUGCGGAACACGUGUGCAACCUGCCUUUAUCAGGGGGAUAGCCUUUCGAAAGGAAGAUUAAUACCCCAUAAUAUAAGAAACGGCAUCGUUUUUUAUUGAAAACUCCGGUGGAUAGAGAUGGGCACGCGCAAGAUUAGAUAGUUGGUAGGGUAACGGCCUACCAAGUCAGUGAUCUUUAGGGGGCCUGAGAGGGUGAUCCCCCACACUGGUACUGAGACACGGACCAGACUCCUACGGGAGGCAGCAGUGAGGAAUAUUGGACAAUGGGUGAGAGCCUGAUCCAGCCAUCCCGCGUGAAGGACGACGGCCCUAUGGGUUGUAAACUUCUUUUGUAUAGGGAUAAACCUUUCCACGUGUGGAAA